Molecule: ribosomal RNA, 492 nt
Filed under: uncultured bacterium
Lineage: Bacteria
Description: partial 16S ribosomal RNA
Rfam family: Bacterial small subunit ribosomal RNA
Source: RNAcentral
AGUGAACGCUGGCGGUAGGCCUAACACAUGCAAGUCGAACGGCAGCACAGUAAGAGCUUGCUCUUACGGGUGGCGAGUGGCGGACGGGUGAGGAAUACAUCGGAAUCUACUUUUUCGUGGGGGAUAACGUAGGGAAACUUACGCUAAUACCGCAUACGACCUACGGGUGAAAGCAUGGGAUCUUCGGACCUUGCGCGAUUGAAUUAGCCGAUGUCGGAUUAGCUAGUUGGCGGGGUAAAGGCCCACCAAGGCGACGAUCCGUAGCUGGUCUGAGAGGAUGAUCAGCCACACUGGAACUGAGACACGGUCCAGACUCCUACGGGAGGCAGCAGUGGGGAAUAUUGGACAAUGGGCGCAAGCCUGAUCCAGCCAUACCGCGUGGGUGAAGAAGGCCUUCGGGUUGUAAAGCCCUUUUGUUGGGAAAGAAAAGCAGCAGGUUAAUACCCAGCUGUUCUGACGGUACCCAAAGAAUAAGCACCGGCUAACUUCGUG